UCCGGUUUGAAACCGGCGGUCCCGGUAGACAUAGUAACUACCAGCGAGGGUUGCGCUCGUUGCGGGACUUAACCCAACAUCUCACGACACGAGCUGACGACAGCCAUGCAGCACCUGUCACUCGGUUCCCGAAGGCACCAAGGCAUCUCUGCCAAGUUCCGAGGAUGUCAAGGGGUGGUAAGGUUCUUCGCGUUGCAUCGAAUUAAACAACAUGCUCCACCGCUUGUGCGGGCCCCCGUCAAUUCAUUUGAGUUUUAGCCUUGCGGCCGUACUCCCCAGGCGGAGAACUUAUCGCGUUAGCUACGCCACUAAACCCUCAUGGGGUCCAACAGCAAGUUCUCAUCGUUACAGCAUGGACUAC
Molecule: unclassified non-coding RNA, 361 nt
Filed under: uncultured Gammaproteobacteria bacterium
Lineage: Bacteria; Pseudomonadati; Pseudomonadota; Gammaproteobacteria
Description: contains 16S-23S intergenic spacer region
Source: RNAcentral